GUUCGGUCGGCAAUUGAAGCAGCGUGAAGCAAUAUCCUCCCAUCGAAGAGCAAGAAACGAGCUGGAGGGGGCAAGGUGUCGCUCGCUUGGGCGAGAUGAUUGACAAGCGAGUUAACGAUCCCGACGCCUCUGAUGAAGAAGUCCUCAACGUCGAAAGAAGGAGAGAGAGAGAGAGAGAGGUACUAAGGACACUUUGAUGAUGUUUGCGUAUUAACUAACGAUCCCUCCACGCCACCUGUGCGAAUAAUUCCUUGAUGGAAGGAAAUUGCGGAUGAAAUUGAUGCGCGUGCCGGUUUGUGUUAACGAGCAGCCCGCCAUUUUUGUGGUGAGUGGUUUCGCGCUUUUCUUUUCUUUUCUUUUUUUUUUUUU
Molecule: long non-coding RNA, 369 nt
Organism: Apis dorsata (giant honeybee)
Lineage: Eukaryota; Metazoa; Arthropoda; Insecta; Hymenoptera; Apidae
Exons: 2
Source: RefSeq, a predicted model, not a curated record